AGAGUUUGAUCCUGGCUCAGGAUGAACGCUGGCGGCGUGCUUAACACAUGCAAGUCGAACGGAGACAAGAGAAAGCUUGCUUUUUCUUAUCUUAGUGGCGGACGGGUGAGUAACGCGUGGGUAACCUACCCUGUACAGGGGGAUAGCAGUUGGAAACGACUGAUAAAACCGCAUAAAACGGCAGUACCGCAUGGUACAACCGUCAAAUAUUCAUAGGUACAGGAUGGGCCCGCGUCUGAUUAGCUAGUUGGUGGGGCAACGGCCUACCAAGGCGACGAUCAGUAGCCGGCCUGAGAGGGUGAACGGCCACAUUGGGACUGAGACACGGCCCAAACUCCUACGGGAGGCAGCAGUGGGGAAUAUUGGACAAUGGGGAAACCCUGAUCCAGCGACGCCGCGUGAGUGAAGAAGUAUUUCGGUAUGUAAAGCUCUAUCAGCAGGGAAGAUGAUGACGGUACCUGACUAAGAAGCACCGGCUAAAUACGUGCC
This 489-nucleotide ribosomal RNA is filed under the name uncultured bacterium. RNAcentral describes it as "bacterial SSU rRNA". It matches the Rfam family "Bacterial small subunit ribosomal RNA", at positions 8 to 509 of the family's 1533-position model. The record is from RNAcentral.